AGUAAAAUUUUGCAUAUUCCAAUAGCGGAGGAAAAGAAACCAACAGGGAUUGCCCUAGUAACGGCGAGUGAAGCGGCAACAGCUCAAAUUUGAAAGCUGGCCUUCGGGUCCGCAUUGUAAUUUGUAGAGGAUGCUUUGGGUGAAACGCCAGUCUAAGUUCCUUGGAACAGGACGUCAUAGAGGGUGAGAAUCCCGUAUGUGACUGGAAAUGUUAACCUAUGUAAAGCUCCUUCGACGAGUCGAGUUGUUUGGGAAUGCAGCUCUAAAUGGGAGGUAAAUUUCUUCUAAAGCUAAAUAUUGGCGAGAGACCGAUAGCGCACAAGUAGAGUGAUCGAAAGAUGAAAAGCACUUUGGAAAGAGAGUUAAAAAGCACGUGAAAUUGUUGAAAGGGAAGCGCUUGCAAUCAGACUUGUUUAAACUGUUCGGCCGGUCUUCUGACCGGUUUACUCAGUUUGGACAGGCCAGCAUCAGUUUCGGCGGCCGGAUAAAGGCUCUGGGAAUGUGGCCUUCACUUCGGUGAAGGUGUUAUAGCCCAGGGUGUAAUACGGCCAGCCGGGACUGAGGUCCGCGCUCGGCUAGGAUGCUGCGUAA
RNAcentral lists this ribosomal RNA (591 nucleotides) under Aureobasidium sp. 35L-2-12A. RNAcentral describes it as "eukaryotic LSU rRNA". It matches the Rfam family "Eukaryotic large subunit ribosomal RNA", at positions 27 to 633 of the family's 3401-position model. The record is from RNAcentral. Lineage: Eukaryota; Fungi; Ascomycota; Dothideomycetes; Dothideales; Saccotheciaceae.